AGAGUUUGAUCAUGGCUCAGGAUGAACGCUAGCGGCAGGCCUAACACAUGCAAGUCGAGCGGUAGGGAGGCUUCGGUCUCCUGAGAGCGGCGCACGGGUGCGUAACGCGUAUGCAACCUACCCUUUACAGGGGAAUAGCCCGUCGAAAGGCGGAUUAAUGCCCCAUGGCUCCUUCGAGAGGCAUCUCUUGGAGGGUAAAGAUUCAUCGGUAAAGGAUGGGCAUGCGUGCCAUUAGCUGGAUGGUGGGGUAACGGCCCACCAUGGCGACGAUGGCUAGGGGUUCUGAGAGGAAGGCCCCCCACACUGGGACUGAGACACGGCCCAGACUCCUACGGGAGGCAGCAGUGAGGAAUAUUGGUCAAUGGGCGGAAGCCUGAACCAGCCAUGCCGCGUGCGGGAAGAAGGCGCUACGCGUCGUAAACCGCUUUUGUCCGGGGGUAACCGCGGGGACGUGUCCCCGCCUGCAAGUACCGGACGAAUAAGGGUCGGCUAACUCCGUGCCAGCAGCCGCGGUAAUACGGAGGACCCGAGCGUUAUCCGGAUUCAUUGGGUUUAAAGGGUGCGUAGGCGGCCCGGUAAGUCAGCGGUGAAAGGCUCCUGCUCCACAGGAGAGCUGCCGUUGAUACUGCUGGGCUAGAAUCUUAGCGAGGCGGGCGGAAUGCGCGGUGUAGCGGUGAAAUGCAUAGAUAUCGCGCAGAACGCCGAUUGGGGAGCCAGCUCGCCAGCUGAGUAUUGACGCUGAGGCACGAAAGCGUGGGGAUCGAACAGGAUUAGAUACCCCGGUAGU
RNAcentral lists this ribosomal RNA (787 nucleotides) under uncultured bacterium. RNAcentral's name for it is "bacterial SSU rRNA". It matches the Rfam family "Bacterial small subunit ribosomal RNA", at positions 8 to 794 of the family's 1533-position model. The record is from RNAcentral.